RNAcentral lists this ribosomal RNA (434 nucleotides) under uncultured bacterium. Its description in RNAcentral is "partial 16S ribosomal RNA". It matches the Rfam family "Bacterial small subunit ribosomal RNA", at positions 341 to 792 of the family's 1533-position model. The record is from RNAcentral.
ACGGGAGGCAGCAGUGGGGAAUAUUGCACAAUGGGGGAAACCCUGAUGCAGCGAUGCCGCGCGGAGGAAGAAGGUUUUCGGAUUGUAAACUCCUGUCUUAAGGGACGAUAAUGACGGUAGCUAAGGAGCAAGCCACGGCUAACUACGUGCCAGCAGCCGCGGUAAUACGUAGGUGGCAAGCGUUGUCCGGAUUUACUGGGUGUAAAGGGAGCGCAGGCGGGAAAUCAAGUUGGAUGUGAAAUGUCGGGGCUUAACCCCGGAACUGCAUCCAAAACUGAUUUUCUUGAGUGAAGUAGAGGUAGGCGGAAUUCCGAGUGUAGCGGUGAAAUGCGUAGAUAUUCGGAGGAACACCAGUGGCGAAGGCGGCCUACUGGGCUUUAACUGACGCUGAGGCUCGAAAGUGUGGGGAGCAAACAGGAUUAGAUACCCUGGUA